Pteronotus mesoamericanus is the source of this 214-nucleotide small nucleolar RNA. RefSeq annotates it as small nucleolar RNA U3. The record is from RefSeq and is a predicted model, not a curated record. Lineage: Eukaryota; Metazoa; Chordata; Mammalia; Chiroptera; Mormoopidae. The transcript has a single exon.
GAGACUACACUUUCAGGGGCCAUUUUUUAGAGCAUGUUACCAGAGAAGUGUUUCUGAAGACUGCAGAGCGACAGCGCAUCAGAAACCCUGAGGGUGAGCUGCAGGGCUCUCAUCUGUGUGAAGCUGGCCCGUAGCGCCACCUGGUGGUCCCAAGGCUUGUUGCUGAAAACGGUUCUUCCUUAAAAGAGGACACAGAGGGAUUCCUUUCUGAUGU